RNAcentral lists this ribosomal RNA (350 nucleotides) under Triatoma vitticeps. RNAcentral describes it as "eukaryotic LSU rRNA". It matches the Rfam family "Eukaryotic large subunit ribosomal RNA", at positions 440 to 730 of the family's 3401-position model. Lineage: Eukaryota; Metazoa; Arthropoda; Insecta; Hemiptera; Reduviidae. The record is from RNAcentral.
AAUUUGUCUGUUUUUAGGCAAUACUGAAAGGUAUUUCCUUUAACAGUUUUAGCCGUUUAUAUACUGGAUAUAAUUGACAGUAACGAAUCAUGGUGUUGAGCCACUUGCUUUGUAAGUGUCCUUAUGGCUGUUUGCAAGUGGGUUGGUUAAUUAGUUUUAGUCGGAUUUCGGUCCGUCUAACUAUUCCGCCUACUGUUGGUAAACUGUUCCUUGGACAGUGCUUAUAACACCGGUCGGCAGCGAUUCAGGUUCAGGCUCUUAUCCGACCCGUCUUGAAACACGGACCAAGGAGUUUAGCGUGUACGCAAGUCAUUGGGUGUAUAAAACCCAAAGGCGCAAUGAAAUUGAAA